RNAcentral lists this long non-coding RNA (1386 nucleotides) under Arabidopsis lyrata. RNAcentral describes it as "long non-coding RNA (ALYR_LNC002431)". Lineage: Eukaryota; Viridiplantae; Streptophyta; Magnoliopsida; Brassicales; Brassicaceae. The record is from RNAcentral.
AAAUAUAAGAGUACGAGAGUAUCAGGAAACCACCGAUAACUAUAAUUUUUUUUUCACAUAAUUAGUGUUAUAUUUGUCUUUGUUUCGAUCGGCUAGAUUACGCCUCCAAAACCCUUCUCUCUCUUAGCCAUAGUUUAAGACUCUGCCGCUUCUUGAGUUCGGCCAACGUCCGGUGGCUUUUUGCUCCGGCGUUGUGCCUCUUUAGUUUAAUUUUCGUUUCUCUUUUCUUCCUUUGUAGAUCUUCUCUCGGUGGUGUUUUCUGAUUUGGAAUUUUUGUGGCCUUCGUUUGGGGUUUCUUGCUGGUUAUUUCGAUCUGUGAGGUUGUGUUCUCUGUGGAAGCGGUCUAGCGUUUCAGAUCUGUGCGGUUCGUGGUUCCUGCGAGGAGGAUGGUGCCGGAUCUGUUUGAUCGACGGUGAGCUUUGUCUGUAAUAGUGCCAUUGUUUCUUGCUCUUCCCAACCCAGAUCUUGUUCUCGCUCUUGUGCUUUUUGUUGUUUCGAUGCCGCCGGCUUGGCUGAUGUGAGGUCUCUCGUCAGACUUCUUCAUGCCUUUGUCUUUCCGUUGUCACUUCCUUGUGUUGUUUUAGCUAGCAGUCUCUCGUUUGGAUCGUCUCUGUUCUUUGUGGAGGUUUUUGUGUGAAGGAUUGUGCUUUGUUCUAGGUUUUCAAAAUUGUCUUCUCUUUGGUGGAGGACGUUGUGGAUGAUUACCAUUUCGGUCAGAGUGUCGUGCUUAAUUUCAUGAUCCUUGUUCCUCGAGAUGGUUAGGUUUCUCUCCUUGUCUUUGCAUUUCCGAAUCGGGUGUGAUUGGAUUGCUUCUUUAAGACUUUUAUCUAGGCGCUCCAUGACGUAUCGUCUUCGCCGCAUCCGGAAGUAUCUUACGAGGUUCAGUUUUGGCCUUUUUUUGCCGGGUUAUGAAGUCUUGGUUACGUGGUUUCGAGAGCUCAUCUCUCAUCAUGAUAGGAGGAGGCAGUUGUUAUCAAUGGGUUGGCCGUGGGCAGCAUUGGUAAAUCUCUUUCGCAGGUGUCUCAAAAGAAAAGGUCAUGUUUUGUGCUUGGACCUUGUGGUUUCUCUUCGGGUUUAAGUUUGUUUGCCUCUAUUCUUAGUUUAUGGUUUCGAUCUCUUUCGUUUUGGCUUUAAAAUUUCUGCUUUGUACUAGUGGUUGUGUUUCCCUUGCUUAGGGCUUAGUUUCCGGGGAAUUUACGUUUUCCUCCGGCUUAGUUUCUGGGAACUUUUCUGUUGUCCGCCGGCUUAGUUUCCCUUGUUUGGGCUUUGUAUUCGACUUUGGUUCCACCUCAAGUUUCAAUAAUAAUAUUUCAGAUGAUAAAAAAAAAGUACAGUCUCACCGUUUUCUUCUUUAAAAAAAACGUAGUUGGAAGAAAAAGGUAUAAG